Molecule: long non-coding RNA, 1874 nt
Organism: Melanotaenia boesemani (Boeseman's rainbowfish)
Lineage: Eukaryota; Metazoa; Chordata; Actinopteri; Atheriniformes; Melanotaeniidae
Exons: 2
Source: RefSeq, a predicted model, not a curated record
AGAUUUUUUUUUUUAUUCUGUUUUUUGCACCAUGUAUAUCAAAUUCUACUUGGGGUCCCAUAAAGGCAGGAGCCGGCACUGUAAACGAGAUCCAGACUCCCGCUGAGCAAAAUUUAAACGUUCAGAGGAUGGUGUUUGCCGUAAACGUUGAGCAUAAUCCUUCAGUUAUAAGUUAUUUGAAAACUGAGCAGACAUAUGUUGAGGUUGUAUCUGCCAGUUUAACAGGGAUUCACAACAGACUGAUGGCUUGAUUGCUAGAGGGCUGUUGGAUGGCCACAAUGGAAGGCGUUAAGAUUCCUAUCUCAGCCAGGGGUCUGAAAAGAGCUCUGUCCAUGUUUGUCACAUAAUAGCAGUUUAAUAGGAUUUCAGUCUUAAGCUGCCUCUCCUAUGUAUGAGAGCAGAAAGACUCUCUGGCCUCCCACUGAUAUCUCAGUUGCCAAGGAGAAUCGCCAGACAGACAAAGGCAUCGUAACAAAAAAACAUAAUAAUGUUUGCGUCACCUUUUGUCGCCCUGGGUUUAGAAGUUAGUGAAGCGGUUUCUGCUAGUUUGACUGUGUUUAUUGUAUGUGUGUGUAUGUAUGCAUGUAUGUCUGUGUGGGCAUGCUUUACUCUGCGGUUGCUCCGGUAGGAAGGCAGCAGCAGCAGGAAUGUGUAGCACAGUAAGAAGGCUACUUAUUGGAUAUUUCAUGCUUUUGUCUGGGAGGCUUUACUGUUGUAGCAGCCAGAGGAAAUCCAAGGGUGAGAGGAUUAUCUCCCAGCUUAUCCCAACACUCUAAUAUCACACCAUUCACUCCCACAGCCUCCUUAUCUACAGGCGUGUCAAUUUCUUUGCUUUUUUUCUCUUUAUUUUUGGGUUACAAACUCCCUGUUUCCCCUCCACCUCCUAUUUCCGGAUAGCCAGGCAUUAUCACCCGCUCCAGAGGGACAGAUCCAGAACGCAGAGAGACACUUGUGAUGAAAUUCCCAGGAGAAGGUGGUGGCGCUCUUCCCAGAAGAAAAACAGAGGUUGAUGGUGCAGCACACAAGAGAAAUAAACUAUCCUCACCUUACUGCACAACAGCCUGGGAGCUAGUUAUAAACAAAGCAAUGUUUAUCUUUCUUGAAGUUGUUGGAGUAGUUGCCAGCAUCAACACAUGAUGAGCGGAAUAAAUAGCCUCUGCUUUAGCACUGCUAACCAAUUCUUAUGUCUGAUUUUGAGACGGGAGAUUAUUAUUGCUGUUAGCAAGCAUUAAACAGAACCACUGUAUUCUGACCUCAAUGAUUAGAUGGUCAUCCAGAAUUACAUGCUAAAUUGUGAUCAUUUUUUCAAGCAUACUUUCCCCAAGUCUAAAUCCAUUUUUGUAUCUUACACAGUCAGAAUGUUGCGAAGCAGCUGCUGAUGGUUUUACUAACCUCCAAAGGAAACAAAUACAAUUCCUUCAGUCUCACACAUCAUAACAGCUACAGUCUCAAGCUCUGCGGUAAAGAGUGAGCUUAGGAGCCGUCAGAGAGGAGCUUGGUGAUUGUGGGGUUAGAUGGCUUAGAGGAAGAGUAGAGGAGGUAAGGUUCUGGCUCUGGUACAAGAUUCUGGUUGAUGCUGAUGGAGCGAGCUCUGUUGCAGGCCGCGGCCUCUGCACGAGCACAUCUGAAAGUCUUUAUGGAGAGGAAGUGGUAAUUGUAAGCAGCCCCCCAACCCUUCAAGCCCUCUGAUCUUUCCCUCUGCUCAACUUCUUCCCACUGUUUAUUUCUUUCUUUCUGUGUCCCCACCUUCCUUUUCUGGCUUUGCUGUUAAUCUUUCAACUAGUUACCAAAGCAGGAUUUUAAUCACACAUCUCAGUUUUUCAUGUUUUGUUAUUGUGAAGCUUUUUCCUCAUUUCUCAUUUCUCAAAGCCACC